UACGGGGGGGGCAAGCGUUGUUCGGAAUUACUGGGCGUAAAGGGCGCGUAGGCGGGUGGACAAGUCUCUCGUGAAAGCCCACGGCGCAACCGUGGGAUUGCGGGAGAUACUGUCUGUCUUGAGUCCGGGAGAGGAGGGUGGAAUUCCCAGUGUAGCGGUGAAAUGCGUAGAUAUUGGGAGGAACACCGGUGGCGAAGGCGGCUCUCUGGACCGGUACUGACUCUGAGGCGCGAAAGCUAGGGGAGCAAACGGG
RNAcentral lists this ribosomal RNA (253 nucleotides) under uncultured bacterium. Its description in RNAcentral is "partial 16S ribosomal RNA". It matches the Rfam family "Bacterial small subunit ribosomal RNA", at positions 524 to 776 of the family's 1533-position model. The record is from RNAcentral.